GUGGGGAAUCUUCCGCAAUGGACGAAAGUCUGACGGAGCAACGCCGCGUGAACGAUGACGGCCUUCGGGUUGUAAAGUUCUGUUAUACGGGACGAAUGGUACGACGGCCAAUACCCGUCGUAAGUGACGGUACCGUAAGAGAAAGCCACGGCUAACUACGUGCCAGCAGCCGCGGUAAUACGUAGGUGGCAAGCGUUGUCCGGAAUUAUUGUGCGUAAAGGGCGCGCAGGCGGCGUCGUAAGUCGGUCUUAAAAGUGCGGGGCUUAACCCCGUGAGGGGACCGAAACUGCGAUGCUAGAGUAUCGGAGAGGAAAGCGGAAUUCCUAGUGUAGCGGUGAAAUGCGUAGAUAUUAGGAGGAACACCAGUGGCGAAAGCGGCUUUCUGGACGACAACUGACGCUGAGGCGCGAAAGCCAGGGGAGCAAACGGGAUUAGAUACCCGAGUAGUCC
RNAcentral lists this ribosomal RNA (450 nucleotides) under uncultured bacterium. Its description in RNAcentral is "partial 16S ribosomal RNA". It matches the Rfam family "Bacterial small subunit ribosomal RNA", at positions 354 to 796 of the family's 1533-position model. The record is from RNAcentral.